CCCUUAGAUGUCCUGGGCCGCACGCGCGUUACACUGAUGCAUUCAACGAGCUUAUAACCUUGGCCGAGAGGCCUGGGCAAUCUUGUUAACGUGCAUCGUGAUAGGGUUAGAUUAUUGAAAUUAUUAAUCUUGAACGAGGAAUUCCUAGUAAACGCAGAUCAUCAAUCUGCAUUGAUUACGUCCCUGCCCUUUGUACACACCGCCCGUCGCGCCUACCGAUUGGAUGGUCCGGUGAAGCCUCGGGAUUGUGGUUCUUGCCGCUUUAUUGUGGCGUGACCGCGAGAACUUGUCUAAACCUUAUCAUCUAGAGGAAGGUGAAGUCGUAACA
RNAcentral lists this ribosomal RNA (328 nucleotides) under uncultured eukaryote. RNAcentral describes it as "partial 18S ribosomal RNA". It matches the Rfam family "Eukaryotic small subunit ribosomal RNA", at positions 1470 to 1796 of the family's 1831-position model. The record is from RNAcentral.